GUUUGCUAGAACACAUCCACUAAUUUUUAUGUGGGAGUGUUUUAGCAAAGCUAUAACUUAGAGUGUAUUUAACCACUGUUUAGUUAUUUAUUUGCUAAAAUACUCCUUCUAAAAAAUAAGUGGGUGUAUUCUAGCAAAUGCCUAUAAGAUUUGCUAGAACACACCCACUUGUUUUUUUAGAAAGUGUGUUAUAGCAACAUACACCUUAAGGUGUAUUUAUUAAUUUUUUAGUUAUAACUUGCUAAAACACUCCCACAUAAAAACUAGUGGGUGUGUUCUAGAAAAUU
Molecule: microRNA precursor, 287 nt
Filed under: Medicago truncatula (barrel medic)
Lineage: Eukaryota; Viridiplantae; Streptophyta; Magnoliopsida; Fabales; Fabaceae
Description: miR2604 stem-loop (mtr-MIR2604)
Source: miRBase by way of RNAcentral